UCGAGUCGUCCCCAGAGAGCACGGAGUCGACUCUCUCAGGGGAUUCUAGAGGACGUAUUUUUCAUUGAUAAAAUGGCAGAGUCGUCCCCGACGUCGCGGAGUCGUCCCCAUGCAUAAAGCACAAACAUCCCGAGACGUCCCCGUAAAGUGCCGAGCCGACUCUCUCAGAAAAACAAAAAACAAGAAGUCAAGGAGUUCUUCUUCGGAGUCGUCCCCGUAAAGCGCCGAGUCAACUCCAAACAACGUCAAAAGAAAUUUUAUACAGCCGAGACGUCUCA
This 278-nucleotide long non-coding RNA is filed under the name Phoenix dactylifera (date palm). Its description in RNAcentral is "long non-coding RNA (PDAC_LNC011667)". The record is from RNAcentral. Lineage: Eukaryota; Viridiplantae; Streptophyta; Magnoliopsida; Arecales; Arecaceae.